UACGGAGGGUGCAAGCGUUAUCCGGAUUCACUGGGUUUAAAGGGAGCGUAGGUGGGUUGGUAAGUCAGAGGUGAAAUCUCCGAGCUUAACUCGGAAACUGCCUUUGAUACUAUCAGUCUUGAAUAUUGUUGAGGUUAGCGGAAUAUGUCAUGUAGCGGUGAAAUGCAUAGAUAUGACAUAGAACACCAAUUGCGAAGGCAGCUGGCUAAACAUAUAUUGACACUGAUGCUCGAAAGCGUGGGGAUCAAACAGG
RNAcentral lists this ribosomal RNA (253 nucleotides) under uncultured bacterium. RNAcentral's name for it is "partial 16S ribosomal RNA". It matches the Rfam family "Bacterial small subunit ribosomal RNA", at positions 524 to 776 of the family's 1533-position model. The record is from RNAcentral.